This 1454-nucleotide ribosomal RNA is filed under the name metagenome. RNAcentral's name for it is "bacterial LSU rRNA". It matches the Rfam family "Bacterial large subunit ribosomal RNA", at positions 792 to 2290 of the family's 2925-position model. The record is from RNAcentral.
AAAAGUUCUGGCAUGACCUGCGGGGAGGAGUGAAAGUCUAAUCAAACGGGGAGAUAUCUGGUUCUCUUCGAAAUGCCUUUAGGGGCAGCCUCGGAGCAACUACGCCAGAGGGGUAGAGCUACUGAAAGGGGACGUGGGGCUACCCGCCUACACGCCCCUAUCAAACUCCGAAUACUCUGGCGACUAUUCCGGGAGUGAGUCCGCGAGGGAUAAUCUUCGCGGUCGAAAGGGAAACAACCCUGACCGCCUGCUAAGGUCCCGAAAAUCAACUUAGUUCGGUAGGAAGUUAUCCUGCGUCAGACAGCCAGGAUGUUGGCUUAGAAGCAGCCACCAUUUAAAAAGUGCGUAAUAGCUUACUGGUCGAGCAGGGUAGCGCCGUAAAUGAUCGGGAAUAAGUUGGUUACCGAAGCAGCGGGUGUGCAGCUUAGGUGCUGCACGCGGUAGAAGAGCGCCGCACGCCGCGUCGAAGCCGGACCGUGAGGACCGGUGGAGCGCGUGCGGGUGAGAAUGCCGGCAUGAGUAACGAUAACGCAGGUGAAAAUCCUGCGCGCCGAAAGCCUAAGGUUUCCUGGGGAAGGUAAAUCCGCCCAGGGUUAGUCGGCCCCUAACACGAGGCUGAAAAGCGUAGUGGAUGGACGGCGGGUUAAUAUUCCCGCACCGACUGCAGAGGUUGAGCCUGUACGUGUAGUCUUCCAAGGCAGAUCUCCCGACUAGUCGUGGGAGUUUCGCAAGAUCGAGGCCGCUUUGUUGCCGAAGUCUGUGGCGGAGGGCUCGAGAAAAGCGUACAGGGGACGAUGCAGGCGACCGUACUAAAACUGACACAGGUAGGCGAGGAGAGUAUCCUCAGGCGCUCGAGAGAACUGCGGUUAAGGAACUAGGCAAUCUAACCACGUAACUUCGGGAGAAGUGGUCCCUCCUCCUUUAUCGGAGAGGGCGCAGAGAAUCAGCCUGGGCGACUGUUUAUCAAAAACACAGCUCCGUGCCAACUCGGAAGAGGACGUAUACGGAGUGACGCCUGCUCGGUGCCGGAAGGUUAAGGGAGUCGGUCAGGGGUUCGCCCCGAAGCUGGCGGCCGAAGCCCCGGUAAACGGCGGCCGUAACUAUGACGGUCCUAAGGUAGCGAAGUUCCUUGUCGGGUAAGUUCCGACGCGCAUGAACGGCGUAACGACUUGGGCGCUGCCUCGACCGCAGACUCGGUGAAAUUGAAGUGGCGGUGUAGAUACCGUCUACCCGCAGCAAGACGGAAAGACCCCGUGGACCUUUACUGCAGCCUGGUACUGACGCCGGUUGUGGACUGCGUAGCAUAGGUGGGAGGCGUUGAUCCGCUGGUUCCGGCCAGCGGGGAGCCGCAAUGUGAAAUACCACCCUGUUUACUAUCGUCGUCUCACCCCAACUCCCUGAACCGGGAUGGGGAACCGUGCUAGGCGGGCAGUUUGACUGGGGCGGUCUCCUCU